This 465-nucleotide ribosomal RNA is filed under the name Vreelandella stevensii. Its description in RNAcentral is "partial 16S ribosomal RNA". It matches the Rfam family "Bacterial small subunit ribosomal RNA", at positions 338 to 795 of the family's 1533-position model. Lineage: Bacteria; Pseudomonadati; Pseudomonadota; Gammaproteobacteria; Oceanospirillales; Halomonadaceae. The record is from RNAcentral.
CCUACGGGAGGCAGCAGUGGGGAAUAUUGGACAAUGGGCGAAAGCCUGAUCCAGCCAUGCCGCGUGUGUGAAGAAGGCCUUCGGGUUGUAAAGCACUUUCAGUGGGGAAGAAAGCCUUGGGGCUAAUACCCUCGAGGAAGGACAUCACCCACAGAAGAAGCACCGGCUAACUCCGUGCCAGCAGCCGCGGUAAUACGGAGGGUGCGAGCGUUAAUCGGAAUUACUGGGCGUAAAGCGCGCGUAGGCGGUCUGAUAAGCCGGUUGUGAAAGCCCCGGGCUCAACCUGGGAACGGCAUCCGGAACUGUCAGGCUAGAGUGCAGGAGAGGAAGGUAGAAUUCCCGGUGUAGCAGUGAAAUGCGUAGAGAUCGGGAGGAAUACCAGUGGCGAAGGCGGCCUUCUGGACUGACACUGACGCUGAGGUGCGAAAGCGUGGGUAGCGAACAGGAUUAGAUACCCCUGUAGUC